This 520-nucleotide ribosomal RNA is filed under the name bacterium. RNAcentral describes it as "partial 23S ribosomal RNA". It matches the Rfam family "Bacterial large subunit ribosomal RNA", at positions 2407 to 2925 of the family's 2925-position model. The record is from RNAcentral.
UGGGCAUAGUGAUCCGGCGGUUGCGUGUGGAAGCGCCGUCGCUCAACGGAUAAAAGGUACCCCGGGGAUAACAGGCUCAUCUUCCCCAAGAGUCCAUAUCGACGGGAAGGUUUGGCACCUCGAUGUCGGCUCAUCGCAUCCUGGGGCUGAAGCAGGUCCCAAGGGUUGGGCUGUUCGCCCAUUAAAGCGGUACGCGAGCUGGGUUUAGAACGUCGUGAGACAGUUCGGUCCCUAUCCUCUGUAGCCGAAGGUGAUUUGAGGAAAGCUGUCCCUAGUACGAGAGGACCGGGACGGACGCAGCUCUCGUGUGCCAGUUGUUCUGCCAAGGGCAUGGCUGGUUAGCGACCUGCGGAAAGGAUAACCGCUGAAAGCAUCUAAGUGGGAAGCCUGUUCCAAGAUGAGAUCACCCACCGGGACAACCGGGUAAGGCCCGUGGCAGAACACCACGUUGAUAGGCCGGAAGUGUACGCAUGGCAACAUGUUCAGCUAACCGGUACUAAUCGGCCGAGGGCUUGGUUCU